Molecule: unclassified non-coding RNA, 268 nt
Filed under: Hevea brasiliensis (rubber tree)
Lineage: Eukaryota; Viridiplantae; Streptophyta; Magnoliopsida; Malpighiales; Euphorbiaceae
Source: RNAcentral
GUUUGAUGCAAGAGAAUAUGGACCUCAAUCAAAUCAAUAUUAAGUUGGAAUGUGGAAGAAAAUUGGUAAGAUUUAAUAUUCACAUAUGGAAUUUCCAUAGGUACCAUAACCAAGGCUCGGACAUCAACCUAGAAUUAUAUCUUGUCCAACAUUUCAAAGUAAUGAAAUUGCUGCAUAUCGAUACUGGUUUGGCAGGCUCAAAACAUGCCUCCCUCCCCUUUAUCUUUCAUAACAAGUUUGAAUGCUACCCAUGUCUUCGAAGCCAUCU